This 870-nucleotide ribosomal RNA is filed under the name Penicillium paxilli. Its description in RNAcentral is "LSU rRNA". It matches the Rfam family "Eukaryotic large subunit ribosomal RNA", at positions 35 to 922 of the family's 3401-position model. The record is from RNAcentral. Lineage: Eukaryota; Fungi; Ascomycota; Eurotiomycetes; Eurotiales; Aspergillaceae.
UAAGCAUAUCAAUAAGCGGAGGAAAAGAAACCCAACCGGGAUUGCCCUAGUAACGGCGAGUGAAGCGGCAAGAGCUCAAAUUUGAAAGCUGGCCCCUGCGGGGUCCGCGUUGUAAUUUGCAGAGGAUGCUUCGGGAGCGGUCCCCAUCUAAGUGCCCUGGAACGGGCCGUCAUAGAGGGUGAGAAUCCCGUAUGGGAUGGGGUGCCCGCGCCCGUGUGAAGCUCCUUCGACGAGUCGAGUUGUUUGGGAAUGCAGCUCUAAUUGGGUGGUAAAUUUCAUCUAAAGCUAAAUAUUGGCCGGAGACCGAUAGCGCACAAGUAGAGUGAUCGAAAGAUGAAAAGCACUUUGAAAAGAGAGUUAAACAGCACGUGAAAUUGUUGAAAGGGAAGCGCUUGCGAUCAGACUCGCUCCCGGGGUUCAGCCGGCAUUCGUGCCGGUGUACUUCCCCGGGGGCGGGCCAGCGUCGGUUUGGGCGGCCGGUCAAAGGCCCCUGGAAUGUAACGCCUCUCGGGGCGUCUUAUAGCCAGGGGUGCCAUGCGGCCUGCCCGGACCGAGGAACGCGCUUCGGCUCGGACGCUGGCAUAAUGGUCGUAAGCGACCCGUCUUGAAACACGGACCAAGGAGUCUAACAUCUACGCGAGUGUUCGGGUGUCAAACCCGUGCGCGCAGUGAAAGCGAACGGAGGUGGGAACCCCCCGGGGUGCACCAUCGACCGAUCCUGAUGUCUUCGGAUGGAUUUGAGUAAGAGCGUAGCUGUUGGGACCCGAAAGAUGGUGAACUAUGCCUGAAUAGGGCGAAGCCAGAGGAAACUCUGGUGGAGGCUCGCAGCGGUUCUGACGUGCAAAUCGAUCGUCAAAUUUGGGUAUAGGG